GUGGCUGGUGCCACUUUCCACUUGUACUGAAGCACAGAACAGGCAGCUCAUUUACCUGCUGUGACUACAAAUAUUCCUCUGCACGCUGGAGAAGGUGUUGGGAGAUGCCAGGCGUGAGAGGUCUGUCAGAAAGAGGCUCUUCCCCUGGUUAAAUGGAUCAGAAACUCCUGGGACAGGGAGUGCCAGGAAAGUCUGGUUUGUAAACAUGACAGAGUGAAGAUUUCACCUUGGGUUUGGAGACCAUGGUGAGGUCCAGGCUAUGGGAGAUGGGCUUCCCAGGCACAUCCAUGCUGGGUAUCAGGAGGAAUUUUUUCAUGGAAAGGGCUGCCCAGGGAGGUUUGGAGUCCCCAUCUCUGGAGGUGUACUAGGAAGGCCUGGAUGUAGCACUCAGUGCCCUGGGCUGGGGACAAGGUGGGGAUUUGGCACAGCUUGGACUCGAUCCUGGAGGGCUUUUCCAACCUCAGUGAUCCAGUGAUCACAGCUCUGCCUCCUUUCCAAGCUCUCUCUCUUUGUUUAUAGCUCUUCUAGAACUAACAAUUGGAAUUCUUCCCUGCUUCACAUGCAAAUUCCAUGGGGUUUCCAAAGUAUUUUCUUUAUUUACAUUCCCUGUGUUUCCUUGGAAAACAGCUCCCACAGAAGCAGAAAAGAGUCCUUUCCAGCCUCAGGCAUCACCAUUCUGUGCUGCAGUGAGCAGAGGAAGCUAAUGACACAAGUCCUACACAGAUAAAGAUAAAAAGAGUAUAAAAUAAAAUAAAAAAUAAUAUAUUAUUGAGUCUAAAAGUUAUUUCCAGAGUUCUUAUGCACGGUCUCUAAAGUAUUUGCAUAUUUGUAGAAAUUUUAGGAAACCCGAUGUUUCCAAGAGCUUUGAUUUUGUUUUAUUACUCCUGUAUUUGCAGAUCAUUUCAGACCACACUGGUAAUGCUUUUGCUGUUGUGAUGUUAUCAAUUCUGGUUUGUUUUCCCUCGGCCUUGCUGCUGCUCUCAUCUGCAUGUGAUGAUCCAGGGCAAGACUUGAGGGAAUCCAGGGAAGACCGUGCUGGAAUAGCUUCCAUCUUCUCCUCACACACCAGAAACCUGAUCCUCUGACAAAAGAGCUGAAAUUGUUCCCAACGCCUGAUCCCAUUGCUGGGUGGUGCUGGACCUGUUUUGGCUGUCUCCAAAGCACUGGCUCAAGUCAGCUCAGGAGGAUUCUGUCUUGCUUCAGUGCAGAGUGCCCUCCUGAGAUCAGGAUGCUUCAGUGGGAGUCCUGCGAGUGUCCAAAAGCAAACCUGCAGGGUGGGAAAGGUCUGCCCCAGCUCCUGUCAGUGCUCCAUCCUACUCUUCUGCCUGCUGAAAUAAAGGGAUAAAUCUGAUUUGUUUGUUCAGCUAGUGAAUAGAGGCCCAAAAUUGAUUAGAUGCUUAAUUAUCACUGAAGUUACUGGCUUGGUCACUGGUGUCAUCUGAGCUGGGGAAUUGGGCUUUGAGAGCUGUGGAGCCUGGGAAGGGUCUGCAGUGUGAUCUGUUCCCCAUCACUGUGCAAGGAUAAACCAGGAGAGAAUAAACCUGGAGUUUGAAGCCAGGAGAAUGAGCUCAGUCACUUGUGGUAGGGUUCCCUGGGGACACUGAUGACUAUGGGGUCCCAUUGUCACAUCCCAGGUGAUGUUUGACUCCCUAAGUCCACUGAGCUCAGCCUCUGGCUUUCCUUCAGUAAAAUGGGGAUGAAUCCUGCUUCCCAAGGCCUGGGAAUUAGAUGGAUUAGAAAUCCAUCUUCAUGGCAUC
Cyanistes caeruleus (blue tit) is the source of this 1757-nucleotide non-coding RNA. The record is from RefSeq and is a predicted model, not a curated record. NCBI's taxonomy places the organism in Eukaryota, Metazoa, Chordata, Aves, Passeriformes, Paridae.